Scylla paramamosain (green mud crab) is the source of this 448-nucleotide long non-coding RNA. RefSeq lists it as uncharacterized. Lineage: Eukaryota; Metazoa; Arthropoda; Malacostraca; Decapoda; Portunidae. The transcript has 3 exons. The record is from RefSeq and is a predicted model, not a curated record.
UUCAUUUUUUGUAAAUGUCAGUUUCAAAAUGAAAUGCGUUACGUACGUAAACCAGCGGCCAGGGGCUCUCGCCUGUGACGUCAUCAGCAGACUGGGACUUCUCCGGCUCCAGUGUCUCUUGGUCAAUAUUUACCGUAAUUUCCAGUGUUUUCCAAGUAUUUCCAGCUGUUUAUAAACUCAGGUACAUAUGUCUGGAGUUCAAGGACAGGGCAGCAGCAGAGGAGGCAGUGAGGCAGAGGAACAAUUACAAGCUAGACAAGCAGCACACGUUUCUCUGUAAUCUCUUCACGGACUUUGAGAAAUAUGACAACAUACAUGAGGAGUUUGUCGCACCUGUCCCCGAGCCUUAUAAGAUUGGUGAUGAGUAUUUUACAUUCCAGUCCACCCCAGCCUCCCCCAGUCCACUCCAGCCCCCUCUCCACCCUUCACUUACCACCCAUUACUUUCC